AUCGCUUCUCGGCCUUUUGGCUAAGAUCAAGUGUAGUAAAACUAGCUUUUAAAUUUGUAUCUUUAUCUUUUAAAAAAAAUAAAAAGAUAGCGGCAGGCAGACUUUCCUGGCGAUUCUAAGGGAGGCAUCUGGGUUCUGGGCUUAUGUAUUCUUGCCACUGGGACCCACCCCAC
This 173-nucleotide small nuclear RNA is filed under the name Fukomys damarensis (Damara mole-rat). Its description in RNAcentral is "U2 spliceosomal RNA". It matches the Rfam family "U2 spliceosomal RNA". Rfam says of the family: U2 is a small nuclear RNA (snRNA) component of the spliceosome (involved in pre-mRNA splicing). Lineage: Eukaryota; Metazoa; Chordata; Mammalia; Rodentia; Bathyergidae. The record is from Rfam by way of RNAcentral.